AAUAAAAAGUUCCCCUAGCAGCCUUUAUGCAAAACGGUGAAGUAGAAUACUGGUGGCAACUUAAGAAGGAAGUCCUACCUACCCCUACCACCUGAAAAGUUUUCAUAGAUGCAUUCUUUAAUAACUUCUUCCCUGCCUAUGUUUGAGAAAAUAAGAAGAAGUUAAUUUAAGAUCUUCACCAAGGAAACCUAACGGUUGCCCUGCAUGCAGCCCAUUUUGUCCAGCUGUCUAGAUUCGCCCCUCUAAUGGUCACCCCUGAAAGUAAAAAAGGUAGGAAGUUUCUAAAGGGUCUUCGUGCUGACAUCUAUGAUUGAGUUAUGAUG
This 323-nucleotide long non-coding RNA is filed under the name Carica papaya (papaya). RNAcentral's name for it is "long non-coding RNA (CPAP_LNC001873)". Lineage: Eukaryota; Viridiplantae; Streptophyta; Magnoliopsida; Brassicales; Caricaceae. The record is from RNAcentral.